Molecule: long non-coding RNA, 939 nt
Filed under: Panicum hallii
Lineage: Eukaryota; Viridiplantae; Streptophyta; Magnoliopsida; Poales; Poaceae
Description: long non-coding RNA (PHAL_LNC000544)
Source: RNAcentral
UGGCCAUGCCGCCGACUGCUCGCUCGUCUCGCGCCACUGCUCGGCCGUCCUUGCGUCGUCGGCCUCGUCCACUGCUCUUAAGUCGUCAACGACUUCUUUCGCCUUACCUCUUCUCCAAACCUGCCGGCCUACCCUGCCUUCUCUCUCAUUUUCUUUCUUCUUCCAUCGGCCAAGAAAUAGAGACGAACCGAGCCAAGCUCCCUUGGACCGCCGGCCAAAUCCCCAGCCUCCGCUCCACCAUCUUCAAAUCGCCGCCUCCCACGGCUGCCUCACCUCCCUCUCUCUACCCCCUCGGCCACCACUUGCCGUCGCCGUAGCUCCUGGCGCCGGGGAUUCAAGAUCCCGCGGCAGCCAUUGCCGCGGGCCCAAACUCGGGCGCCGCCGCCGAACACCACCUCCCCGGCCUCCUCGUCCCCAACAAGCCGACGGCGAGCCCGUGCGCCUCCGUCAGCCGCCCCCGCAGCACCUCACCGAGCCGCCAGUCAGCCACCCCGGUCCCUACCUCGCCGCAGCGAACGCCGCACCUCGUCGUCACCACUGUCCCGAGGCCUUGCACCGCCGCCGGCCCCCUCCGACCACCCUCGGCCCAAACUCUCGCAUAAAAUCAUUACCCGGUGAUCCCCUCGUGCAUCCCCACCACUUUCCCACCGCCGGCAAGCUCUCCCCUCGCCGGAUUUUGGCCUCCACCGCCGCAGCCGCGCCCAGGGACUAUAUUGCAAAGAUCGAGCUUUUUCUAGGGUUCUUAGUGCAUAAAACAGGGACUUUUUGUAAGGCUAAAGUCUGUGUAAAUGUUGCGUAGAUCAGCAACUUUUGUAAAAUUAAUAUAAAAUCAUAAAAAAUGCAAACUAAUUUUUUUAUUCCAUGUGAGAUAUAGUUUCAUACAAAAAUGUAAAUGCUCAAGCUGCUGUUGUAUAUUUUUGCCUAUAAUUUACCUUGUGC